This 475-nucleotide ribosomal RNA is filed under the name uncultured bacterium. RNAcentral's name for it is "bacterial SSU rRNA". It matches the Rfam family "Bacterial small subunit ribosomal RNA", at positions 30 to 506 of the family's 1533-position model. The record is from RNAcentral.
UUGAACGCUGGCGGCAUGCCUUACACAUGCAAGUCGAACGGUAACGGGUUAAGCCGACGAGUGGCGAACGGGUGAGUAAUAUAUCGGAACGUGCCCAAUCGUGGGGGAUAACGCAGCGAAAGUUGUGCUAAUACCGCAUAUGCCCUGAGGGGGAAAGGGGGGGAUCGCAAGACCUCUCGCUUUCGGAGUGGCCGAUAUCGGAUUAGCUAGUUGGUGAGGUAAAGGCUCACCAAGGCGACGAUCCGUAGCUGGUCUGAGAGGACGACCAGCCACACUGGAACUGAGACACGGUCCAGACUCCUACGGGAGGCAGCAGUGGGGAAUUUUGGACAAUGGGCGCAAGCCUGAUCCAGCCAUACCGCGUGAGUGAAGAAGGCCUUCGGGUUGUAAAGCUCUUUCAGCCGGAAAGAAAUUGCUUCUAUUAAUACUAGGAGUAGAUGACGGUACCGGAAGAAGAAGCACCGGCUAACUACGU